This is a long non-coding RNA of Myotis daubentonii (Daubenton's bat), 3582 nucleotides long. RefSeq lists it as uncharacterized. The record is from RefSeq and is a predicted model, not a curated record. Lineage: Eukaryota; Metazoa; Chordata; Mammalia; Chiroptera; Vespertilionidae.
UUUUUUUCUUCUUCUUUCUUCUUCCUUCUCCUCCUCCUCCUCUUCUGCCUGGCUCAACUACAUUAACCUUUGCUUGUUCUUACAGGCCAAGGCAAUCCACAGCAACCCUGUGCUCACCUCUAUAAUUUGCUGUGUGAAGUACUUCAUUGUUACGCGCAGGUCUUUCCCACUAAACUUUGAAGAGUUAAACAGAAGAGGAAUAACUUAAUAGCAAGCAUUUUGAGAUUUCAAAACAAUACUUGAGAUAUUCUAUUUUCAGAAGUACAAAUCUGCAGUGCAAUCAGAUUCAAGGAUUUGGAUGACUAAAGUAGAUGAUCAGUCAUAAAGAGUAUGCGAGCCAGUGGAUUGACAUUCUUGGAUCCGGUCUAAACAUUCUGAUGAACAGUUCCGCAGCAGAUAUGUCAGCAUGACUUCUUUUUACAUGAUUUUAUUUGGAUUGCCUUCCAGGAUUCCCAGGACUGUGUUAAGCAGAGCAAUUAUAAUAGUUUAGAGAGUAUGAGCAAGAAACAACCCACAUGUAAUAAAAUAUGAAGAAAAAGAGGGCACCUGGAACAUUUCUGGAGGCUGGGAAGUCCAAGAUCAUAGCGCUGGCAGAUUUGCUGUCUGAUGAGGACCCAUUUCCUCACUGAGGGCCGCCUGUCUUCUGGAAUCUCACAUGGAGGAAGGGGCAAACGAGCUUUCUUGUUCUGUUUCACAAGGGCAUUAACCCCAUUCAUGAAGAAUGGAACCAUAUGACCUGAUCGCCCUUGGAAGGCUCCGCCUCCUAAUACUAUCACCUUGAGGAUUAGGAUUUUAACAUAUGAAUUUGUGGGGACACAAAGAUUCAAUCUGUAGCACCCCUAAUUAGAAAUCCUCUGUGGCUUGCUAUUGCCUAUUCCUAAUCUGCCAUACGAGACCCUUCUCUGCACGGAUCCAGACUUCCUUGUGGGUCAUUUCUUUCUGGCACUCCCCUCUCAAAUGGUUCCAGUUAUUGAUUGGUCCUCCACCUUCAGUAGCCAUGACAUAACACCCAGGAUGACAUAAUGAGGACAAGGAUGGGAUGGAAUAAGCCAGUGAGAUAGGCAGCUACUUUAAAGCUUUUACCUAGUUUGAAAUAUAGGCAUGGCUGUCAUGUGAAAUGACUCCAUUCCAAUUUUUUCAAAGAAAUUAAUUUUUCAGAGAAAUAAAGAAGUGCCUACUACUUGUGCCAACUCAAGGAAAGGGCAAAUGAAGAUGGGCUUGUUGGCUGACUUCCAUCCUAAUAUUUCCUGUGAGGGUAUUAGAUGCUGCCAGCUAAGGAUCUCAUUAGCUUAGUCCACACUAUUCUAUCAACAGCCAUUUUCCUCUGUCACAGCUGAUGCUGAGAGUCGUGUGUCAUAAAAUGCCAUAUACUCCCAAAGUUUAGAACCCUGGCUGAAUGAAAAUAAAUCACUGUUGUUGAAUCAAGUGAGCCAUGGGAUUCCCAAGAGAAGUUUCCUUUAUAUUUUAUAGUUAUGUGGUAAAACCUCAUGAUUUUCCAUACCCAUGUGGCUUUUCUGCUUAUUCCCUAUAAUUUUUCUAAAACAUUAUUCCAUCAUUCUAUUCAAUAAAAAAGAUCGCUUACCUCAUUUGCUCUCAGGAAUAAGAAAGACUUGCUCUCAGGAAUAAGAAAGUUUCACAGGAAUUGCAUUUAGCAAUGAGAUGAUAGAAUUCUUUUCCUCUGGACUUAUCAAAUAAGAUUACCAGCAGAUAAAUGCUUCUCUAGAAUUCAGGACAGAAGGCCCAGCUAUUGUAUAUUUAUUCCAUAGAUCAAUAUCUAUUCCAAACUCACAUUUUUAAGGCAUCAGCUUUAACUGUUGCCAAGCAUUCCCUUAAAAGUCAAGGCUCUGUUGGUAUAAUGAACGGUAAGAGAGGAUUGAGAGUAUACUUGUGAAUUGCCUGAGUAAUGCUUAUUCAUUCUGCACCAUGUAUUCUGUCAAGUAGAAUUCCAAUUGUGACCAUAAACCAUGCUCAUUUCUAUGUAGAAGAGAGAAUCUAUGGCUCUCAUAAUAGCUCUGUAUUUCAGAGGGAUGAUGCUACAUUAUUUUAUACCUAAUCUGUGUACUUGGUAUGUCUUGAUUUCUGCCUUGCCCUAUGAAUUACAGAAGUAACUUGUCUUAUAUUCUUGGAGUAGGGGAAGUAAUAUAUCAUUUGUGACAGCAGCAAUUUCUGAGCCACAGAUCCACUUAAUAUAAGUUAUUAUACUUAGACUCCAAAAUCAUGCAAGAUUCCAGGAAAUUUAUGGAGAAAAUAUGAGUUACCCUUUGACAUUCCCGGAGAAUACUACUGGUUCAUCAAUGUUGAUAUAAGUUUCCAAAGACUUGCCAAAAACUUUUAAGUGUUAAAUGCUCCCACAUGCAAUAGAUUAGUGAUCUCGUUUUAUAAGUACCUCACUAACUGAUUGCACCAUUGGAGUUCCUAGUGAUCACUUAUUAAUGGGACAGAUGAUAUCUGCUCUACCCAUCUCACAUGCCUGUGAGAAUCUUAUGAAGUAAUUUAUAGGAAAAAGUAUAAAGUGUUAUUUUAAUAUUAAAUAUUAUUAAAAAUAAUAGUUUCUUUUUAUUAAAUUUAUUGGGCUGACAUUUGUUAAUAAGAUUGUAUAGGUUUCAAGUGUACAAUUCUGUGAUACGUGUCUGUAUCUUGGAUUGUGUGCCCAUCACCCAAAUUCAAGUCAUCUUUCUAUUGCUCCUGACUCUGACUCAGGUAUGGUCCUGAAGACCAUUCCUGUCCAGAGUAAAAUGGACUGGCUCCGUGCUUCUGAAUGUGGAGCCUCUACCCCAUGUGAAAAGGCAAACUGGGAACUAGGUCACCGAUCUAGAAGCCCAAAGAAAUAAGUAAAUGUUUCAAAUGGUAACUGGGGCAUAAACAUCUUUGUGAAUUGAUAUGGAAGGAGAUCCGCCCUGUCAGUGCCCCAGUUAACACUCUUGUGAUGGUCUGUUCUGACUCCGACUGUUCUUGAAGUGGUGCAAGUCUAUCCACAGGCCUUUCUUUUCCCUGAUUGUCUUCUCUUCCCAUGAGCCCCUUUGUUGCUGGCUGAUAAAUUAUGUCUCAAUGUCGCUGUUGGCCUUUUGGCAGCUCUGCCUGCAAUUUUUAAUAAACAACUAGCACAAAGGAGUUGACUCUGAUGGACCAAUAGUCCAGGAAUACACAUCACAGAGAGACAGGCAUCUUCAGUUAGUUCAACAGUCAGCUUGCUGGAGAGAGCUCCUGGAAGCAGAUGAAUUGGAGUAUUGUGACUUUUUUCUUUUUGGCCAUGAUUUCGUUGUGUAAGGUUAGGCAAAGUGCAACUGCGCUGAGGCACUCUAGAGGGGAGGGGGUAAAUGUCACGGGGCUGAAUUUGUUCACUGAGCUCAGAAAGAGCCUCUGGGGGAACAGGAGAAGCAGCUGGAAGGUGAGAGGGGGCAGUAGAUGGGCAAACUUACCCCCUCAAGAUAAGUGGAGAAGGGUGCAUAACGUGGCUGUGUGGUCUUAGCCCAGCUCAGGCAGGGUGGUAAUGGGGCUGGACUUCCCAUGAAGAAUGGAGGGAUAAGUGACAGGAAUGGUGGCAGGGGUGAGGGGCACAGAGAUGAAAUUACAUAACCUAUU